Small nucleolar RNA from Arvicanthis niloticus (Nile rat), 132 nucleotides. RefSeq annotates it as small nucleolar RNA SNORA17. The record is from RefSeq and is a predicted model, not a curated record. Lineage: Eukaryota; Metazoa; Chordata; Mammalia; Rodentia; Muridae.
CCUGCCUUUAGAAGCAUGGGAGGGGGUGGCUGCUGUGUCACUGUGAGUCAGAAGGUGGCAGAGAGGGGAGAGGCUAUGUUUAUGUUCAGUAUUCUGACCUGUGACAAUCUGAAUGAUUCGUAGCCUAACAUC